Molecule: ribosomal RNA, 2419 nt
Filed under: Shigella sonnei
Lineage: Bacteria; Pseudomonadati; Pseudomonadota; Gammaproteobacteria; Enterobacterales; Enterobacteriaceae
Description: partial 23S ribosomal RNA
Rfam family: Bacterial large subunit ribosomal RNA
Source: RNAcentral
UCCUGACUGACCGAUAGUGAACCAGUACCGUGAGGGAAAGGCGAAAAGAACCCCGGCGAGGGGAGUGAAAAAGAACCUGAAACCGUGUACGUACAAGCAGUGGGAGCACGCUUAGGCGUGUGACUGCGUACCUUUUGUAUAAUGGGUCAGCGACUUAUAUUCUGUAGCAAGGUUAACCGAAUAGGGGAGCCGAAGGGAAACCGAGUCUUAACUGGGCGUUAAGUUGCAGGGUAUAGACCCGAAACCCGGUGAUCUAGCCAUGGGCAGGUUGAAGGUUGGGUAACACUAACUGGAGGACCGAACCGACUAAUGUUGAAAAAUUAGCGGAUGACUUGUGGCUGGGGGUGAAAGGCCAAUCAAACCGGGAGAUAGCUGGUUCUCCCCGAAAGCUAUUUAGGUAGCGCCUCGUGAAUUCAUCUCCGGGGGUAGAGCACUGUUUCGGCAAGGGGGUCAUCCCGACUUACCAACCCGAUGCAAACUGCGAAUACCGGAGAAUGUUAUCACGGGAGACACACGGCGGGUGCUAACGUCCGUCGUGAAGAGGGAAACAACCCAGACCGCCAGCUAAGGUCCCAAAGUCAUGGUUAAGUGGGAAACGAUGUGGGAAGGCCCAGACAGCCAGGAUGUUGGCUUAGAAGCAGCCAUCAUUUAAAGAAAGCGUAAUAGCUCACUGGUCGAGUCGGCCUGCGCGGAAGAUGUAACGGGGCUAAACCAUGCACCGAAGCUGCGGCAGCGACGCUUAUGCGUUGUUGGGUAGGGGAGCGUUCUGUAAGCCUGCGAAGGUGUGCUGUGAGGCAUGCUGGAGGUAUCAGAAGUGCGAAUGCUGACAUAAGUAACGAUAAAGCGGGUGAAAAGCCCGCUCGCCGGAAGACCAAGGGUUCCUGUCCAACGUUAAUCGGGGCAGGGUGAGUCGACCCCUAAGGCGAGGCCGAAAGGCGUAGUCGAUGGGAAACAGGUUAAUAUUCCUGUACUUGGUGUUACUGCGAAGGGGGGACGGAGAAGGCUAUGUUGGCCGGGCGACGGUUGUCCCGGUUUAAGCGUGUAGGCUGGUUUUCCAGGCAAAUCCGGAAAAUCAAGGCUGAGGCGUGAUGACGAGGCACUACGGUGCUGAAGCAACAAAUGCCCUGCUUCCAGGAAAAGCCUCUAAGCAUCAGGUAACAUCAAAUCGUACCCCAAACCGACACAGGUGGUCAGGUAGAGAAUACCAAGGCGCUUGAGAGAACUCGGGUGAAGGAACUAGGCAAAAUGGUGCCGUAACUUCGGGAGAAGGCACGCUGAUAUGUAGGUGAAGUCCCUUGCGGAUGGAGCUGAAAUCAGUCGAAGAUACCAGCUGGCUGCAACUGUUUAUUAAAAACACAGCACUGUGCAAACACGAAAGUGGACGUAUACGGUGUGACGCCUGCCCGGUGCCGGAAGGUUAAUUGAUGGGGUCAGCGCAAGCGAAGCUCUUGAUCGAAGCCCCGGUAAACGGCGGCCGUAACUAUAACGGUCCUAAGGUAGCGAAAUUCCUUGUCGGGUAAGUUCCGACCUGCACGAAUGGCGUAAUGAUGGCCAGGCUGUCUCCACCCGAGACUCAGUGAAAUUGAACUCGCUGUGAAGAUGCAGUGUACCCGCGGCAAGACGGAAAGACCCCGUGAACCUUUACUAUAGCUUGACACUGAACAUUGAGCCUUGAUGUGUAGGAUAGGUGGGAGGCUUUGAAGUGUGGACGCCAGUCUGCAUGGAGCCGGCCUUGAAAUACCACCCUUUAAUGUUUGAUGUUCUAACGUGGACCCGUGAUCCGGGUUGCGGACAGUGUCUGGUGGGUAGUUUGACUGGGGCGGUCUCCUCCUAAAGAGUAACGGAGGAGCACGAAGGUUGGCUAAUCCUGGUCGGACAUCAGGAGGUUAGUGCAAUGGCAUAAGCCAGCUUGACUGCGAGCGUGACGGCGCGAGCAGGUGCGAAAGCAGGUCAUAGUGAUCCGGUGGUUCUGAAUGGAAGGGCCAUCGCUCAACGGAUAAAAGGUACUCCGGGGAUAACAGGCUGAUACCGCCCAAGAGUUCAUAUCGACGGCGGUGUUUGGCACCUCGAUGUCGGCUCAUCACAUCCUGGGGCUGAAGUAGGUCCCAAGGGUAUGGCUGUUCGCCAUUUAAAGUGGUACGCGAGCUGGGUUUAGAACGUCGUGAGACAGUUCGGUCCCUAUCUGCCGUGGGCGCUGGAGAACUGAGGGGGGCUGCUCCUAGUACGAGAGGACCGGAGUGGACGCAUCACUGGUGUUCGGGUUGUCAUGCCAAUGGCACUGCCCGGUAGCUAAAUGCGGAAGAGAUAAGUGCUGAAAGCAUCUAAGCACGAAACUUGCCCCGAGAUGAGUUCUCCCUGACCCUUUAAGGGUCCUGAAGGAACGUUGAAGACGACGACGUUGAUAGGCCGGGUGUGUAAG